GUCUACAGCCAUACCUCCCUGAACAUGCCCAAUCUUGUCUAAUCUCAAAAGCUAAGCAGGGCCGGUCCUGGUUGGUACUUGGAUGGGAGAAAUUCUCCAAAUGAAAAAGGUAUAAAGGCUGGAGAUGUAGUUG
This 133-nucleotide ribosomal RNA is filed under the name Fukomys damarensis (Damara mole-rat). Lineage: Eukaryota; Metazoa; Chordata; Mammalia; Rodentia; Bathyergidae. The record is from RNAcentral.